UACGGAGGGUGCAAGCGUUAUCCGGAUUCACUGGGUUUAAAGGGUGCGUAGGCGGAUUGGGAGGUCCGUGGUGAAAUCCCCGAGCUUAACUUGGGAACUGCCGUGGAUACUCUCAAUCUUGAAUAUCGUGGAGGUAAGCGGAAUAUGUCAUGUAGCGGUGAAAUGCUUAGAUAUGACAUAGAACACCAAUUGCGAAGGCAGCUUGCUACACGGUCAUUGACGCUGAGGCACGAAAGCGUGGGGAUCAAACAGG
RNAcentral lists this ribosomal RNA (253 nucleotides) under uncultured bacterium. RNAcentral describes it as "partial 16S ribosomal RNA". It matches the Rfam family "Bacterial small subunit ribosomal RNA", at positions 524 to 776 of the family's 1533-position model. The record is from RNAcentral.